Molecule: non-coding RNA, 64 nt
Organism: Myotis lucifugus (little brown bat)
Lineage: Eukaryota; Metazoa; Chordata; Mammalia; Chiroptera; Vespertilionidae
Source: Rfam
GGCCUCCCUCUGUGGGGUGAUUGAUUGUGGGGCUCCCUGAUUGAUUGCCCAGCAGAGGGAGGCC